GCGGACGUGGUGCGUGGUACACCGCUGCAUUUCAUUAAGGGAAUCCAAAUAAAGUUGAAGCAGUCGCUGGGGUUCGACUCCCCACGUCCGCA
Mycena leptocephala is the source of this 92-nucleotide non-coding RNA. NCBI's taxonomy places the organism in Eukaryota, Fungi, Basidiomycota, Agaricomycetes, Agaricales, Mycenaceae. The record is from the annotation of a GenBank genome assembly.